UCCCCUCUGUACAGGGUAAGAGAAUUGAUUUUGAGGUCUCAACAAUGAUUGGAGUAGGGGCGUACGUAUAGUAUGCACAACAAGUGUAUAAGAGCAGGAUUGUUGGAGUAGGAGAAGACACAGAACAUGUUGCAUUUGCGAGAAGAAUCAACAAUUAAGAAGAAUAAGAAGAUGGUGAGAGACUGAGAGUGGAUGCAAAUUGCAGUGGAUUGAGGUUAAGUGAGUUUAUAAGAAUUCACUUUUGAGGUCCCAAGAAUAAUGGGAGAAGUAUUAGAGAUGCAUGUAUGCAGAACUCAAUCCUACAGCUCGGAGAUACUUAGUCUAUUUGACAUAUACA
Long non-coding RNA from Ipomoea nil (Japanese morning glory), 337 nucleotides. RefSeq lists it as uncharacterized. NCBI's taxonomy places the organism in Eukaryota, Viridiplantae, Streptophyta, Magnoliopsida, Solanales, Convolvulaceae. The transcript has 3 exons. The record is from RefSeq and is a predicted model, not a curated record.